ACGGGGCGCAGCAGGCGCGAAACCUCCACAAUGCGCGAAAGCGUGAUGGGGUUAUCCCGAGUGCCGUCCGAUGAGGAUGGCUUUUCAUCGGUGUAAGGAUCCGAUGGAAUAAAGGGGGGGCAAGACUGGUGUCAGCCGCCGCGGUAAUACCAGCCCCCUGAGUGGUAAGGACGAUUAUUUGGCCUAAAGCGUCCGUAGCCGGCUUAUCAAGUCUUUUGUUAAAUCCAACGAUUCAAUCGUUGGGCCGCAAAAGAUACUGUUAUGCUAGAGGACGGGAGAGGUCGACGGUAGUCCAGGGGUAGGGGUGAAAUCCUAUAAUCCUUGGAGGACCACCAGUGGCGAAGGCGGUCGACUAGAACGUGCCUGACGGUGAGGGACGAAAGCUGGGGGAGCGAACCGGAUUAGAUACCCGGGUAGUCCCAGCUGUAAACGAUGCGGGCUAGGUGUUGGGGUAGCCACGAGCUGCCCCAGUGCCGCAGAGAAGUUAUUAAGCCCGCCGCCUGGGGAGUACGGCCGCAAGGCUGAAACUUAAAGGAAUUGGCGGGGGAACACCACAAGGGGUGAAGGCUGCGGUUUAAUUGGAGUCAACGCCGGGAACCUUACCGGGGCUGACAGCAGAGUGAAGGCCAGACUGAAGAUCUUGCCAGACAAGCUGAGAGGAGGUGCAUGGCCGUCGACAGUUCGUGCCGUGAGGUGUCCUGUUAAGUCAGGCAACGAACGAGACCCCUGCCUUUAGUUGCCAGCGGAUUCCAACGAAAUGCCGGGCACACUAACGGGACUGCCACCGAUAAGGUGGAGGAAGGGGGGGGCAACGGCAGGUCAGUAUGCCCCGAAUGCCUCGGGCCACACGCGGCCUGCAAUGGUAGGGACAAUGGGAUCCGACCUUGAAAAAGGAAGGCAAUCCUUAAACCCUAUCUCAGUCGGGAUUGAGGGCUGAAACUCGCCCUCAUGAACAUGGAAUCCCUAGUAACCGCGUGUCAUCAUCGCGCGGUGAAUACGUCCCCGCUCCUUGCACACACCGCCCGUCGCUCCAUCCAAGUCGGGUCUAGAUGAGGCUUAGUCUCAUUGGCCAUGUCGAAUCUGGGUUCGGUAAGGGGGGAGAAGUCGUAACAAGGUAGCCGU
Molecule: ribosomal RNA, 1122 nt
Filed under: uncultured crenarchaeote
Lineage: Archaea; Thermoproteati; Thermoproteota
Description: bacterial SSU rRNA
Rfam family: Archaeal small subunit ribosomal RNA
Source: RNAcentral